Molecule: long non-coding RNA, 312 nt
Filed under: Olea europaea (common olive)
Lineage: Eukaryota; Viridiplantae; Streptophyta; Magnoliopsida; Lamiales; Oleaceae
Description: long non-coding RNA (OEUR_LNC010611)
Source: RNAcentral
GAUAUCAUAAUUCAGGAACUGAGUUGGGCAAAGAUUUUUGGACAGUCAACACAUAGGUAUUGAAUUAUUCGGAUGUCGUUCAAAGAAAUGUGUAUUGUAUUGUGUAUGUAAUUAUCAUGUAAAAAGAAAGUGAGAGAACUGAGAGUGGAAACAGAGGGUAAAGGAUGAAACAAAGAGAGGAGAGAGAGAGAGAGAGUGGUGAGUGAAUAAACUAGAAAGUCAUAGAAGUCAGUAUGCCACCGUGUAUUUUAUUGGAAUGAGAAAAUUUCAUUUGGCCUUUGGGGGAAUAAAAUAAUAUAAUAUUGGAUAGUG